Molecule: transfer RNA, 64 nt
Filed under: Lygodactylus capensis (Cape dwarf gecko)
Lineage: Eukaryota; Metazoa; Chordata; Lepidosauria; Squamata; Gekkonidae
Description: tRNA-Trp
Source: RNAcentral
AAGUUUAGGUUAACCAAACCAAGGGCCUUCAAAGCCCUAAAUAGGGCAGGGGCCCUAACUUCUG